This 293-nucleotide ribosomal RNA is filed under the name uncultured bacterium. Its description in RNAcentral is "partial 16S ribosomal RNA". It matches the Rfam family "Bacterial small subunit ribosomal RNA", at positions 775 to 1067 of the family's 1533-position model. The record is from RNAcentral.
GGAUUAGAUACCCUGGUAGUCCACGCCGUAAACGAUGGGCACUAAGUGUCGGCAGGUUACUGCCGGUGCCGCAGCUAACGCAGUAAGUGCCCCGCCUGGGGAGUACGGCCACAAGGUUGAAACUCAAAGGAAUUGACGGGGGCCCGCACAAGCGGUGGAGCAUGUGGUUUAAUUCGACGCAACGCGAAGAACCUUACCCAGGUUAGACAUGCUUGUAGUAAAAAACCGAAAGGUAGAUGAGUCCGAAAGGACAGCUUGCGCAGGUGCUGCAUGGCUGUCGUCAGCUCGUGCCG